CGCGUGUAAAGCGACGCCCACAUGCACGCGUGGGCCUGCGCGUGUCUACAGCUCUGUCUCUUCAGUCCCUCCUCUGCCAUCUCUGCGGCUCUCUUCCACACACGUGUGCGUGAGAGUGUGUGCGUGUGUGCGUGUGUGCAAUGCGCAGCGCAUCUAAGCCAUUGCCCGUGAUACGGACCGCGAUACGCACCCGAACUCGAGGCAGAAGAACGAAGCAAGUAAGAUUCCGGCGUGGACGUGUGCUCAGUCAGUUGACAUCUCCAUCGCUCCCUCGGCGGCACCCACCCAAUCCACCCACAGAAGCAGAUAUACACAGAGCUUUCCUUCGAUAGAAUCUGCCUCUUCCCUUAGCACACACACACACGGGGAGGGGCAGAGAAAGCGAAGAGCACAUUGGCGAGGCUGUCCCCCCCCCCCUCCCCCCGCUGACGGACUUGUAGUGGCACACCGUUGUCCUUUCUCCGCGUGCCCAUACUUCUCUUGCCUCUCUUUUUCCACAUUUGCGCUAAGGCCGACGCCGCUUGCUCAUGGGGAACAGCAGCAGCAGGCGCAGCAGCAGCAGCAGCGGCAGCGGCAGCUCGCUGUCGCACACCGCCGUCGGUGGCAGCAGCCGCCGCCAGCGCAGUCGCGAUUCACAGGUGAGGGGGAGGCCGGCCUUGAGGUCUCUAUACUCGGGUAAAAACGUAUCGGCCGUAACUAGUGCUACUGCGACGAGUUCUCGCGUCGCGGCUUCUUCCCUCUUGACAGGUAGUGGUUUACGAACGCGCAAGCAGCACAGAGACGCCGCGGCAGGGGCCAUGACGACGUCGGCCGCGACGCAGGACAAUAACCUCGCCAGCCCCGUCUCUUCAAUUCACCGGCACGGGUUGCUCUCUCUCUCAUCGCUUCCGACCAAGAGCGUCGUGCCUUCGCCGGCGCGUGCGACUGCGGCUGCCGUCACGGCGUCUCAGCACUCCGUAGGCGAAAGAGGACACCCACUAAGAGACUCGCGAGGAAGAGACAGGUCAUGUGAUGCAGAGUUGUCGCCGCAGCAGCGCCACCACCAGCAGCAGAACAAUGACUUCGACUUGGCUGUGAUCGACGCCUCAAACUCUUGUCAAGCUCACGGAGGCGACGAAAACGCCAACGGUGGCGCUGCUCGGAGCGGCUCGGCUGUGAGUGUGCAUCGCGCACGCUCAUCUUCGACGCUACAGGCGGCGACCGAUUCUGCGGUACCACUGCCGCUCAGAACUCUGCUGAUUCUGGAAGAUGCCCACCCCGCCGCCACCAAGGUAAGCACGGCGCCUACUCCAGCCGGCGGCCACACGCGAGGGACCGUGUCCAUGAGGCGCGGGGGCGACACAGAGGUCGACGUGAACGAGCACAACACUGACUCCUCGCAAGUCUGCCGCGCCAUUUCGCCGUCAACUUUGAACCCGAAGGGUAGGGUGCCGCUUGAGUCUCCGGCCUUCUCAUGCCCGCCGUCGACGGCGGCGCCACCGCUGCCUGUGGGCCGGGCAGCCCGUUCCACCAACGCGCCAUGCCAUCCGUCGACGACAACGACGAGCACCGCCACGCCUCAGCGGCCAGACGAGCCUCUCGACUUGGGCGUCAAGGGUGCCGUCGACCGCGGCAGCGGCAACAGUAAGUCUGACCUCAAGUCCAAGACUGAGGGCGCAGGCGACGGCCGCAGUGGAGGCGGAGGCGGCGGCUUCUGGCGUAGGCAGUCACGCAAUCUCUUAUUUCGCAAGCUCCUCUCUCGGCCUGGCUCUCGUGCAGAGCGGUCGUCGUUGCCCUCCCGCCCCAAGGCGGGCGAAGACGGAGGCAGCGCCCGAGGCACCAAAGCAGAGCUCACUGCUGGGGAAGGUUCGCUCUGCCGCAGAGACGUCGAGGCAAAGACUGUGUACAAGCGCACCUCGCCUGCGCAGCGUGCCCAUGACGUGCCGUCGACUGCGCCUGCAGCUCUGGCCACGCAACCAAGAUCUUCAGCAUCGUCGCCCUUCCCCGCCGUCGCCGCCGCGGCGACGGCAACUGGGCUUGCUGUGUCGAGGCCACCGACCUCUUCGAUGACGGCGCAGCGGGUUUCCGCGUUUCAGCCCUCGGGUGCCGCGGGGCAUUCAGUUGGGCGUACAACGGUCGCCCCGACGGUGGACGAUGCGCGCAGCCCCGCGAGUGACUCGAAGAGCCCUCGCGGUGCUGAAGACGUGUCGGGGCCGAGGCCGAGCGGGAAGGAGUGCGGCGAAGCUCUGCCGCGAGGUCUUCCAGUUUCCAUAGAAACACCACACUUUCUCCAGCUGGUACCAGGAGAACAAGCGGGGCACCAGGGCAGCGAGGAGAGCGACUCGACGACGCCGACGGACACCAACUCGGCACCGAUUCUGCCGCCGACGACGGCUUCUUUCGCGGAAGCGGUGUGGGGCACACGACGAGCCGCCGCGCCAGCAACCCCUACGACGGCCACCGACAACACAAGCCUCUUCUCUGACGACGACCACGAUAAUGGCCAAGACAGCGACUGUGUCACCGCCGCCGCAUCGCCGUCGGUAUACUACUCGUUUCACCAGCAGCCGCGGCAACUGAAGGCUCCCGGCGUCCCUGGUGCCGGCUUAUCAUCCACCACUACUGUGACGGACACGACGGCGCGAGUAUCGCCACGGUCGCCUUUCGUCUCACCUCUCACAGCCGUCGUAGCGGCAGAGAGCGGCGGUUCAGCUGCCGCGGCGGCGUUUUCGUCUUCGGCAGCCACGACUGAUGCGUGCUUGAGAGGCCGCCGGUCGGUGAGUCAAUCUGUUAUCAUCGCGGCGUGGAAUCGAAUGGGCGCCCGCACAGGCGCCCCUGUAAGUGGCGUUGGCGCGGGCGGAGGCCAUCACGGCGGGGUUGAGAGUCCCGAGCCAUCGGCAGAGGCGCUGCAGAUGUCGUUUGCGCUGAGAAAGUCACUUGCCGUUGCCGGCGAUAGCAUUGGUGGCGGUGAUGAGCUGGCAACCUCCGCAGUACCUGCGAGCAGGGACACUCAGCUCGCUCGGGUGCCGACUGGUGCGGCGGCUGAGGUGGCGACAGGCAAAGCAUCGUUUUUCCGCCACCAGUGCACCGUCGCUGGCCAUCAGGAAGCAGGCAGCCGCGGCUCUUCACGCCGCUCUUGGGCCAGCGUCGCUUCCAUGCUGCCGAUUCGGCGCCGCUCCGUCGUAACACGUCAGCGGGAACCACCUGCGCUUUUUUCUCCUUCGCCGGAGAACAGCGAGCCCAGCGAUGCCGUGCCACAGCCGUUCUCUGCCCUCGGUCAGCUCUCCAUCCGUGAAGGCGCACCCGCGGCGGGCCAUCCUGCAUCACCGCCCACGCCCACUAAGGCCGCGAAUGACAUCGCUCAUAGUUGGGUGGCAGCACCACCGCAGGAGCUACAUCGGCCGCCAAGGGCACGAAUAAAGUACAAGAAGGAGGCUCCCUCCGCGGACAGGGCACUGCCUCUCAUGCGUGAGCCCCCUGCCAGCUUGCGCACAUCCACCGCGACUUCAACCUCCAUCGCGACGCAGUGGCCGUCGUCACAGGAGAGUCGGGGGAGCGACACCAGCCUGUCGACUACGCAGUCGCUACAGGCGGGCAUCCUUGUCCCGGUAAACGGCGAGGAUAGAAGUGGCGGGGGCUUGGUGGAGGAGCGGGAGCGUCUGUCGGUGCGCCGCACGACGGCAUACGACGAGGAAAUGGGGUCCGCAACAGCCACGACCGUCGACGCGGAUGAGGAGGAUCGAGCUAACGAGGAAGGUGGCGCGGCAGAGAGGCAGGCCGCACCACGAAGUCCUCAGUCGCUCGCUCAGCACCAACUCCAGCGGCAGCCGAUCGAGGAGCACCCGCACCGGGCAUCCGCCCCUGGGUUCACAACAACGCACACUACCGUGGCUGCCAACAGUGCUGCGCCUGGCCUGCUGUUGGCUCAUGACAACGACCAGCAGCACUACUCUCCGCCGCACUGCAUGGGGAGCGGCACCUUCUUCGCACCGAGCACAUGCGGGGCAGCUGCGUGUGGUGCCAUUUUAUGGGUGCACAGCAGCCCUUCCUCGCCGCGAUCGUACAGCACAAGCGACUCGCGUCUGGAGGUGGCGAGAGACGCACAGGAUGUAGAGGACGAGGAGGACAGCAUCGACGAGGUCGGCCUAAGGCGCACGCGAGAUGGCGAGGAUGCGCGCUGUCGAUUACACAGGUCUGGGGACGAACAUGCGAAGCACUUCGUCGGGCUCGAUGCCAGCCCCUUCAACCGAAACUACUCGUCUCCUUCAGUAUUCGCUUAUCGAAGCGACUCCACCGGCUUCAACGCCAUGACGGCCGCUACUCGCGGCGGCGGCGGGGCAAAGCGGGCGGCUCUGGUGCGCAGCAGCAGCCACCAGCUGCUGUCUCGGCGCUCGCAGUCAGAGCCGACGCGCAAUACAUCGCUUUUGUCCUCGACGGCGCGGGUUAUGCCGCGGUGGAGAGAGCGGUUGACGCCGACGCCGCAGCCGACCUCGCUGCUUUCUUCGAGUACCGCGCGAGAUGACGUCGACGGCACCGCCAGUGGUCUCCUGUCUGCCCCGCGGGGUCGGCGAGGACUGACCUCGCAGGGAGCGCCUCCACUUGCACACCAGCCAAGUGCGCAUCUCCAUCCACCGCCGCCUCCGACCUCGGCGUUGCCGUCGCACGUGCCACAAUAUCUUCGGCGCGAGAUCUCUGGCAGCCUGGGUAGCGUGCGGUGGCAGGAGGUGAGUCUGCACGCCAGUGGUGGGCGAGCCUCGCCGAACUUCGGCUUUGCCGGAAGCAGCCGAGUCAACGACGACACGCCGCCGCACUACGAUGCUCUGGACGACGACGACGAGGAUAACGCCGAGGACGGCGGUGACGAUGGGGCGCAGCGGCGCCAAGGCUGCCCGGUCAGUGGCGCGGUCGGCGAAGACACCGGAGACGACGGUGAUGACACCUUUCUCUGCUUGGAGAGCAGCGAGGCGCCGACGUGGGGCAUGGCGACGUUGCGGACAUGGCAUCGCGACGACGCCGAAGACGACGAUGAGGAUGGCCGCGACGAGGAGGAGGACAAAGACGAUACCAGUGAAAACGGCGCAGGGAGCUGCGGCAGCGGUGAAGCUCGCAGUGGCGGCAGACAUUGCUUGCGGUUGCCGCAGCGUCACCGCUGGCGCCGAUCCGUGACUCCGCCUUCGGCGAGCACGCAGCUACCCACGCAGCAGCCGCAGGAGUCGUGCAACGUUGGCCGUGCGUCUCGCGAGUUUGAUCCCUCGACGCCGUCCGAGCAGGGCAUCCCGCCGUCUCGCACCGGCACGCGGACCUUCGCUGACGCCAUCGUCCGCCUCCCACAGACUCGCUAUGAGCCGCCGAUGCCGUCGAAUAGAAACACCUUCACAGCCUUCGUGCACUUGUCGGACAUCUCCUCCUCGCAGCUGCUCGCCACAGCAGCGGCGACGUUUCAGUGCGGGUUCGAUGCGCACCUCCGCGGUGUAUCAUCAGGGGUGCACGGUGAUGAGGCGGCGGCGGCGACGUCGGAGGAUGGCGGUUACGCUGUUCACCGAGCGGGGCCCCACGUGCACACGCCAGCCAUCGCCGACACGCUCAUCCUGAACGGCUACGCCUUCCAAGAGGCGCACCUCGCCGACGGCUCUGGUGUCGGGGCAGACGUUGUGGAUGCGGCGGGCGGCGCGCUGCCUAUUAGCCCGCUCAACUCUUCCUUGGGCACCGCCCCGACGGACCACAUCUCGCGAGUCGACACACCUGUGCUGGUGGCAGUCCACGGCGCCGUGGCCAGGCGAACCCCGCUAAGCGAAGAGGCCGAAGCGGCGAGCGCGAGGUCUGAGUCGCCCGACGCGCUCUCCUGCGUUACACCGCCCAAGUUGAGAAGCGUCACAAAGGCGCCGCGGGGGCUGAAUCACGCUGCUGCCGCCGUCGCCGCGGCGGCGGUCGGCUUGGAUGGGAGCAGUGGUGGCUUUGAUGGUGACAACGAUGCAGGCAGCGACGACCUGUCAGUGCCAGCGGCGCAGCCGGGAGCCACGUCGCCGCGAACAUCGUGGAGCCUAGAGUCGAUGAGAGCCGGUGGCGCCCCCGUGUCUGAGGGGGAGCGACAUGCGUUGUCGGACGAGGAGAGGCCGUGGCUUGACGCCUUUGGACACUCGACACCUUUGCUCCACAGCGUGGCCGACGCGGUGGUCGCGGUGGAAGCUCCCGCCACUGUGGACAGUCGCUUACAGCACUCGGCUCCGCUUUCCACAUCUCAGUCGCUGCCGUGGUGGAAUCGCCACCGCCACACCACCCGAUCGGAGGGCAGUGACACCAUGGACUUCAGCCAGCGUGGGGGCGAGAGCGGCAACGGCGGUGGCGGGCACUCGCCCUACAGCUCAGUCUCCGUCAACAGUGCUCUUGUUGUUGUGCCGGGUGGCCGCGCCGCGUCUCUGGCAUCUCCGGCAACCCCCACCGGCUCCGUGGCCAUCACCGGGCCGCCUCUGGGUCACACAUUGCAUCCAGGCGGCGGCGCCGUGGCGUCGGUUUCGUUCUGGAUGAGUGGUUGCAGGCUGCGACGUGAGGCGCAGUAUCCCACGGCACCUACAAAUGGUUGCCGCUCGAGUGCCUUCAGCAGCAGCAGCGGCGGCACCAACAGCAACGGGGGAGAUGCAGCCCACAGUGGUGCUGCUGGCGCUGUAUUACGUCAUAAUCCGAAUGACGAGGUGCUCGUCAUGCAGGGGCGCUCAUGCGACGCGGGCGACAGCAGCAGCGAGAAGAGGGUGGCGGGGGAGGCAGGCAUCGAAGCCGGCGCGGCACCUGUGGCGAAGCACACCAGCCACGACCACGACGGCGACAACGCCGGCCUGAGCGAUGCUUGUAUGCAGACACGGAAGCGGCAUCCGUGGAUGCCUGUCUUCCCCAGCUCUUCUCGCAGCGCGAAGACGGCAUUGACAGCCGGAACGGCGUGCGCCGAGUUCGACAGCAAAGGCAUGCUUGCCACGACGGCGCCGACCCACGCGAUGGCCACCAUCACAGUGGUGCCGCCCACGCUGUCCUUUAUAGAGGAGGCGGAGGUGCAAUCCACAUGUAAUGCAUCGCCACUCGCUCUCGCCAUUGCCGCCACAUCCGGUGGACCGUAUCGUGGCGAAGGAGAGCCGACACCCGACAAGGAGGCGCUGGACGACGGAGUUGACGGUGACGAGAGAUCGGGCGUGGACGUUCUCAUCCCUCUGCCGCUUGGCGUACAGGCACAUCACAGCCGCCGAGCCAUCAGCGUUAGCAACACCAUCGCAGCUCCCACGAACACCGCUGUGACCGCUGCGCUGGACGGUUUGGGGGAGACUGAGACGUAUGCUCGCACCUGCAUCGAGGAGAGCGCCGCUGACGCGCGGGAUGCGGGGGUGUCGGUGCGGGAUACGCUCCAGACGCAGCACGGGCAGCCGCCCCUGCAGCAGCAGUGCUCGCCCACCACGGCCCCGUUUGCGCUGCCCUCUGCCCUGCCUGGAAUGGGCAUGGUGGAGAGCGGGGCUUCUCACGCCAUUGAAGGCUUUGCCGCGGGAGCCGGCCGGGACUCUGGCAGCUGCGGCGGCAGCGGUACCACCGGUGUUGCAGUCAGCGGUAGAAAUGUGGCUUCAAUGCCGACUGCCCUUAGGGCCGCGACCUCCCUCGCUGUCUUGACCUCGCGGGAGUCCUGCGACAGCUUGGUGCCGCCGUCGCAGACGUCUGAGCUCGCGCUUAUGCCGCGGCGCAGCGGCGACGCGGCGGACGGCAACGGCGGCGCUGGGACUGGCCCGGGCCCCCUUCUCAUAGAUGAGCGCGUCUCUGGUGUGGCGGCGGCUGACUCAAGCGCAGUCACCGGUGCACACGCUGCGGAGGACGGAGACGUUCAUGACGGACUUGUUGCCGCCCACACAGACCCGGGCUUAGAGGCGGAGCACGAGUUGCCGCACUCACCACUCGCCACGAAGCUCAUAGGCUCCGACUUGAUGGCAGAGCCUCAUGCCACAUCGCACCGCAGUGUCGACAUCCGCUCCGCGGGUUUAGCUGUAGGAGUGGACCAGCGCGAUACCAGCCUUGGCGAGCAGAUACCCCUCACAGUGCCACAAAAUUCGCCUGAGCCAUCCCAGCCGACAGCGUCUUGCACAGUGGGCCCUCCAGGGUCACCAGACCACGUGCUUGCCCGCUCGCCGCUGCUCCUGGGCGAAGAGGCUUCUGUAGACACGCGCGCAGCAAGUCGAGCCCAGACGCGCCCCGACCAUCACUACGGGCUGGUAGUGUCACCCUCGCCGCAUCACGAAGGCUCGACUCCACGUGUGCGCGCCCAGUCGCGCUCACAGCGCCAGCACCGCGGCCCCAGUGUCGGUCAGGUUGUGUGCCGUUGGUGUGGAGAACCGUAUACAAACACAGAUGUAUGCCUUGCCGCGCGGCGACCACACAGCGUGCUCCGCGAGGAGCGGCGCAUAGAGAAGGCGGCGAAGCGCACGGCACAGACGCUCUUGCGCGAGGGCCGAGUCACGGAGGCGGUGGCGCUGCUGAAGAGCGCUGGUGUAUACGUGCAAUGAGCGAGGCUUCCACGGCGCGCACCACGGCGCUUCACGGAGCUUCACGGCGCUCUCCCCCUCUCUCUCUCUAUCUCCGCGUGUCACUCACGUCUCAUCUCCGUCGACGUUGUCGCGGCCUUCUUUUGGUGUCUUUCACUUGCUUGCAACCUUGCUCGCUCUGUUCUCAUACUCCUGUAUCGCUGGUCAUCGCGCGCCACUUCGCCGCUCGCU
This 8717-nucleotide unclassified non-coding RNA is filed under the name Leishmania donovani. RNAcentral describes it as "gene:LdHU3.21.1210(CDS-product:hypothetical_prote in_conserved)". The record is from RNAcentral. Lineage: Eukaryota; Euglenozoa; Kinetoplastea; Trypanosomatida; Trypanosomatidae.